This is a non-coding RNA of Cenococcum geophilum 1.58, 126 nucleotides long. The record is from the annotation of a GenBank genome assembly. Lineage: Eukaryota; Fungi; Ascomycota; Dothideomycetes; Gloniales; Gloniaceae.
GCACUGGUGGUUUAGUGGUGUAAGUAUUUGUCCCCGCUUUUAAUCAUUUACACUGACGAGUAAAAGAAAAUUCAUCGUUGCCAUCGUUGUAUCGAUGAGCCCUGGGUUCGAUUCCCGGUCAGUGCA